RNAcentral lists this ribosomal RNA (616 nucleotides) under uncultured bacterium. Its description in RNAcentral is "bacterial SSU rRNA". The stretch from base 1 to 520 matches the Rfam family "Bacterial small subunit ribosomal RNA", at positions 338 to 873 of the family's 1533-position model. The record is from RNAcentral.
CCUACGGGAGGCAGCAGUGGGGAAUCUUGCGCAAUGGGCGAAAGCCUGACGCAGCCAUGCCGCGUGAAUGAUGAAGGUCUUAGGAUUGUAAAAUUCUUUCACCGGGGACGAUAAUGACGGUACCCGGAGAAGAAGCCCCGGCUAACUUCGUGCCAGCAGCCGCGGUAAUACGAAGGGGGCUAGCGUUGCUCGGAAUUACUGGGCGUAAAGGGAGCGUAGGCGGAUAGUUUAGUCAGAGGUGAAAGCCCAGGGCUCAACCUUGGAAUUGCCUUUGAUACUGGCUAUCUUGAGUAUGGGAGAGGUUAGCGGAACUCCGAGUGUAGAGGUGAAAUUCGUAGAUAUUCGGAAGAACACCAGUGGCGAAGGCGGCUAACUGGCCCAUUACUGACGCUGAGGCUCGAAAGCGUGGGGAGCAAACAGGAUUAGAUACCCUGGUAGUCCACGCCGUAAACGAUGAGUGCUAGUUGUCGGCAUGCAUGCAUGUCGGUGACGCAGCUAACGACAUUAAGUACACUCCGCCGUCGGGGAGGUACGGUCGGCGAAGAAGUUAAAACUUAAAAGGUAAAGUUAGACGGACGUGAGACGUAGCCGAACGGACGACGACGAGGGAGGUAGG